GAGACAAAUUGGUUAUAUAACUUGCUGUGGGAACAAAGUCUAACUUAGUCCAGUAUUCUUUUUUCUACAAGGAAAGCUGUUAUAUAGACUUAAGUAGU
RNAcentral lists this small nucleolar RNA (98 nucleotides) under Ochotona princeps (American pika). RNAcentral's name for it is "Small nucleolar RNA SNORA28 (ENSOPRG00000023997.1)". The record is from RNAcentral. Lineage: Eukaryota; Metazoa; Chordata; Mammalia; Lagomorpha; Ochotonidae.